RNAcentral lists this long non-coding RNA (453 nucleotides) under Ananas comosus (pineapple). RNAcentral describes it as "long non-coding RNA (ACOM_LNC020578)". Lineage: Eukaryota; Viridiplantae; Streptophyta; Magnoliopsida; Poales; Bromeliaceae. The record is from RNAcentral.
CUCCUUCUUCCAGAUUUCUUCAGUUCAGACCAGCAGGGGCUUCAACUUCACCACUUCUUCUAUUUUUGGCAGCCAAUACUUAAUCAUUUAACUCUUUUCUAAACUAACCACUUCGAUUUUAAUUUAAAAUGGCAUCAACUUACUUUAAUCUAGGAUCUUAUCAAGUUGAUCUCAGCACCAACAACACCAACAGCAUCAUCUCCCAUCUCGAUUACCUCUCGCAGCUCAGCACAGGGGAGAAUCCAACUCUCUCAAACUUUUUCUCCCUAAACUUGUUCUUAGGGCUGAGAGAAAAGAGAGAGGAAGAAGUUGGAUGUAAUCAAGCUGAUGAAGGGGUUACCUAGCACGUGUACAACUUCCACUCAGCUGGGGUUAAGUGAUAAGCUCAGAAAACUGCAUCUUAACCCCUUAAACUUGCAAAAAUGCAUUGCAGCCUGCAGGUUUACAAUUCAG